This 1159-nucleotide ribosomal RNA is filed under the name Mycoplasmopsis bovis. Its description in RNAcentral is "partial 23S ribosomal RNA". It matches the Rfam family "Bacterial large subunit ribosomal RNA", at positions 1 to 1159 of the family's 2925-position model. The record is from RNAcentral. Lineage: Bacteria; Bacillati; Mycoplasmatota; Mycoplasmoidales; Metamycoplasmataceae.
UACUUUUAAAUAAGGAAGAGUUUGUGGUGGAUGCCUUGGGUCUGGAAGUCGAUGAAGGACGUGAUUACCUGCGAUAAGCCUCGUAGAGCUGGAAAUAUGCUAUGAAACGGGGAUUUCCGAAUGGGGAAACCUAACUAUGGUAAUGCAUAGUUGCUUAUGUCUGAAUACAUAGGACAUAAAGCGAGAUACCUUGUGAACUGAAACAUCUUAGUAGCAAGAGGAAAAGAAAAUAAAUAAUGAUUUCUUUAGUAGCGGCGAGCGAACGAGAAAGAGCCCAAACCAUUUUAAAUGGGGUCAUAGGACAGACUACAUAGAGUUACAAAAUUUAAUAAUAGCAGAAGCUUUUGGGAAGAAGCGGCACAGAAGGUGAUACCCCUGUAUGCGAAAUUAUUAAAUCUCUUGACUGUAUCCUGAGUAGGGCGGGGCACGUGAAACCCUGUCUGAAUUUGCCGGGACCACCCGGUAAGGCUAAAUACUAACCAGACACCGAUAGCGAACUAGUACCGUGAGGGAAAGGUGAAAAGAACCCCGAGAGGGGAGUGAAAUAGACUCUGAAACCACUUACUUACAAUUAGUCAGAGCCCGUUAAUGGGUGAUGGCGUACAUCUUGCAGUAUGGACCGGCGAGUUACUUUAGCAUGCAAGGUUAAGCAGAUAAAAGCGGAGCCGUAGAGAAAUCGAGUCUUAAUAGGGCGAUUAGUAUGCUUGAGUACACCCGAAACCAGGUGACCUAUUCAUGAGCAGACUGAAACUUAGCUAACCCUAAGUGGAGGGUCGAACCGUAGUACACUAAAACGUGCCCGGAUGACUUGUGAAUAGCGGAGAAAUUCCAAUCGAACUUGGAGAUAGCUGGUUCUCCUCGAAAUAGCUUUAGGGCUAGCGUGUAGUGUUAAAUAAUGGUGGUAAAGCACUGAAUAUGGAAUGGCCUCGCCUAGGGGUACUGACUAUAAUCAAACUCUGAAUACCGUUAUGAAUUGCUAUGCAGUCGGAACCGGGGUGCUAACGUCCCGGCUCGCGAGGGAAACAACCCAGAUCGUCAGCUAAGGUCCCAAAAUCGUGUUAAGUCAGAAAGGUUGUGAGGUUUCAUAAACAACUAGGAAGUUGGCUUAGAAGCAGCCAUCUUUUAAAGAGUGCGUAAUAGCUCACUAGUCAAGAGACCU